Molecule: ribosomal RNA, 507 nt
Filed under: uncultured bacterium
Lineage: Bacteria
Description: partial 16S ribosomal RNA
Rfam family: Bacterial small subunit ribosomal RNA
Source: RNAcentral
GAUGAACGCUGGCGGCGUGCUUAACACAUGCAAGUCGAACGAAGCAUUUCUGUUGGAAUCGAUUAGUUUACUAACAGAGGACAUUUGAAAUGACUGAGUGGCGAACGGGUGAGUAACGCGUGGAUAACCUGCCUUAUACAGGGGGAUAACAGUUAGAAAUGACUGCUAAUACCGCAUAAGACCACAGAGUCGCAUGACUUAGUGGUAAAAACUCCGGUGGUAUAAGAGGGAUCCGCGUUGGAUGAGCUAGUUGGUGAGGAAUUGGCUCAACAAGGCGACGAGCCAUAGCCGGCCUGAGAGGGUGAACGGCCACAUUGAGGCUGAGACACGGCCCAGACUCCUACGGGAGGCAGCAGUGGGGAAUAUUGCACAAUGGAGGAAACUCUGAUGCAGCGACGCCGCGUGAAGGAUGAAGUAUUUCGGUAUGUAUACUUCUAUCAGCAGGGAAGAAAUUGACGGUACCUGACUAAGAAGCCCCGGCUAAUUACGUGCCAGCCGCCGCGGUAA